This 254-nucleotide ribosomal RNA is filed under the name uncultured bacterium. Its description in RNAcentral is "partial 16S ribosomal RNA". It matches the Rfam family "Bacterial small subunit ribosomal RNA", at positions 524 to 776 of the family's 1533-position model. The record is from RNAcentral.
UACGGAGAAUCCAAGCGUUACCCGGAAUUACUGGGCGUAAAGAGUUGCGUAGGCGGCUCAGCAAGUUUUCGCUUAAAUAUUAAGGCUCAACCUUGAAAAUGGCGAGAAAACUGCUGAGCUAGAGGAUGGUAGAGGUGAGUGGAAUUCCUGGUGUAGGAGUGAAAUCCGUAGAUAUCAGGAGGAACACCAAUGGCGAAGGCAGCUCACUGGGCCAUUCCUGACGCUCAGGCACGAAAGCGUGGGGAGCGAACCGG